This 846-nucleotide long non-coding RNA is filed under the name Homo sapiens (human). RNAcentral's name for it is "HSALNT0042305". The record is from RNAcentral. Lineage: Eukaryota; Metazoa; Chordata; Mammalia; Primates; Hominidae.
CUGAGACUUUUCUCAGAAAGCAACUCUGGGUCUAUUAAAAUGCUGCAAAACCAGAAAGGAUGAUGAUUUGUCAUGUAAAAAUGUAAGGGCAGCAAUUAGGAGAGUAGAGGCUCAUCAACUGAGUUCUUUCCAGAGAGGGACCUUGUAAGGCUGACUUUGGAAUAUGACUGCAUUCUGCUGAUUGUAAAGGAGGAAAAGGAUUCUCACAUGACAAUGAAGAGACUGAAGAAGUAUCAUCAAUGGAUAAAGCAGAAUAGAAAUAGCAGCCGCCUGGACCAUACCUAGAAAGGAAUCAUUUUGCCUGGCAGAAGCAUGAAACAGUUCCAUAUUUGAGAUGGCAUUUACCACUGAGGGAAAAAAAAAGUAUCAUGUGAAAGAAGCAAGAAUUGGACUGACCACACACUUGUCAUUGCCAAUCAGAUGCUGCAAAACAAUGGAUCUGUUUUUCAGAGUUCUGAAAUAAAAUGCUAAUCAAACUAGAAUCUGCUUAGCUAAGACACUGCCAAAUAUGAAGACCAAAUAAAAGAUUUUCAGAUGUGUCAUAAUUCAGAGUUUAUACUCCAAGCAUUCUUUUGUAGAAAGGAACUCAAGGGUGUAUUUCAGCAAAAUAAAGAAGUAAAGUACUAGAGCCAUCACUCAGAGAGCAAAUGACCAGACCAGAUGCUAACAACAAACAUUGUGUGACUUCCUAUCUCCAGCCACUUCUGAAGUCAGAUCUAUUUUCUUGAGUUGGAGGGCGGUGGCACGGUAUUGGCUCACUGCAACCUCCGUCUCCCAGGUUCAAGUGAUUCUCCUGCCUCAGCCUCCCAAGUAGCUGGGACUACAGGCAAGCACCACCAUGCCCAG